CAUCCAGUGUGACAGCCCCUCGCCACGGGGGGCUAUUGAGCACUUAAAAUGUGGCUACCGUAACCAAGGAACUGAAUUGUUUAUUUUAGUCCACUUUAAUUUGUGUUGUUGUAUUGAACAGCACGGUUCCGAAAGGCCUGGAUUUUAUUUUCUCUGGGUCCUAGUUUUCAAACUUGGCUGUGCUGUGGUUACCAGGGCAACACCUUCUGGAAGCCCAGUGGAUGGGGGAGGGGAGCUCUCUGGAGUUCUUCCCCCUUCUCUUCUUGCUCUGAGGCCCGAGGACCAGCCCAGUUUGGGGAAGAACACAGAAGCUCUGCUCUAUGUCAUCUCCACUCUGGGACCCACACUGAUGGAGCAGCCACUUUCUGGAGCCUUGCUGGUCAUUGAAGCAGAGGGAAGGAAGGAAUGGUGAAAUGUGCACUAGCUAUGAAAAACUUUGGCUUGGACUCCCUCCCCCUCCUCCUCCUCCUCCUCCUUCUUUUUAAGUAGGCUCCAUGCCCAACGUGGAGCCCAACUCCGAUGAACCUAAGAUCAAGACCUGAGCUGAGAUCAAGAGUUGGACACUUAACUGAUUGAGCCACCCAGGUACCCCUGGCCUAGACUCACUUCUGAUCACAACUCACUGGCAAGAAUUAGUCGCAUGCCCCCCCCCCCCACAAGGAG
This is a long non-coding RNA of Canis lupus familiaris (dog), 663 nucleotides long. RefSeq lists it as uncharacterized. The transcript has 3 exons. The record is from RefSeq and is a predicted model, not a curated record. NCBI's taxonomy places the organism in Eukaryota, Metazoa, Chordata, Mammalia, Carnivora, Canidae.